Molecule: unclassified non-coding RNA, 769 nt
Filed under: Hevea brasiliensis (rubber tree)
Lineage: Eukaryota; Viridiplantae; Streptophyta; Magnoliopsida; Malpighiales; Euphorbiaceae
Source: RNAcentral
CCCAAAUAAAAAAAAAAUCACAUCCAAAAUAUGAGAUGGCACUCCCAAUCUUCUUUUUCUCAAAUAUUUUACAACAAAUAUUGAAUCAUCACCUCCUAUGGAUCUGCAAUUAAAAAAAUUAAAAAAAAGAUAUUAAAUUCAAAGAAAAAGAGAAGAAGAAUUCCCACUGGAUCUGCAAUGAUUGUUCUUCUACUCAAAUCCAAGUCCUAGGUCUAGAAUAGCCAAAAAUAAGAAUCUGCUGCUUACACCACCCAGUCAUGGAUGGAGCAAGUUAGUACUUGGACAUUACCUGCACAGAUUGAAAACAAAAAGUUUUCCUCUAUUAAGCCUUCAGCAGAAAGCCAGCGAUUGAGCACCUGCACUCUAAGUUACCUUUAGCCUGAAGAAAAGGAAGCCAUCAUCUUUGUCUUACCAAACACAAAAUAUGAACACUUCAAUGCUUAAUAGGACUGAGGUAUCAAAGCCUAGUUAUGACCAAAGAAAAAAAAAAAGCCAUCCAAGACAGUAAUAAAAACUGAAAUUCGGCUAUCAAAACUACUUGUAAUGUUAGCAGUUCUGAAAAGUAGAACCUUUGAACAAAAAUCUAUUAACUUAAACCAUCAAAAAUAGUUCUCUAAGACAAUAAUGAAAAUUAAGUUAGCAAUGUUCACCAAUAAGGGACUCAAUUAGAAAACAUCACCAAAUGAAAAAUGGAAAUCCAUAGGUUUAUUGACAAUGCGUGCUAUAUAUUUCCUAAUCCAGAAUCACAGAUUUAUCAUCAAAACCAAAU